Long non-coding RNA from Silurus meridionalis, 1038 nucleotides. RefSeq lists it as uncharacterized. The transcript has 3 exons. The record is from RefSeq and is a predicted model, not a curated record. Lineage: Eukaryota; Metazoa; Chordata; Actinopteri; Siluriformes; Siluridae.
GUCACUUCGAGCCUGUUUGAUGCCUGGAGGCUCCGAUGCUGACUCAAAGACAAAUUCGUUGCUGUUCCAAAAAAAAGAAGGAAAGAAAGAAAGGCGGACAUAACUCAACCAAGGAGAUGACCCGUGAGGAAAGGUUUUUGUCUGAUGGAUAAGCAGCAUGCUCUGGUCACUGAUGUCCCUGGUGCCAUUUUGGAGUUUGUUCUGAACCCUCCGGAAAGACAGCCGACAUGUUGGAGCACAUCUCGUGGAGAACAACAGUUUCAUAAGUGACAUGAUUAAGAGAUAUGUCCUAUCGAGAACACCAAGGUCUCCCAGCAACCUGCAACCUGGCUGAAGUGUGAGGAGUCUGUGGGUGUGUAGGGGCCUAAACAAAGGAAUUUACUUCCUGACUCCCUCAGGGAUAUAGAUUUACUGUCCACUCUUAAUUCUAUUUUACACUGUACAUUUGUUGUUGAAAAUACAAUCUGAGGAACUUACUGUAUUUCACUCUCGAAAUGGUUUGAUCUAUUUUUUACUCACUGUAAAACAAUUUGGCAAUAUAAAUCAAUCUUAUUAGAAUCGAUCUGAGCGGCUCUGAGCUGGAGUUGUUUUUUGUUGUGGGUCGUGUCCUCUUGCUGCCCAUGUAUGCUUUCCUUUGCAGUCUCAGUCCCGGAUUAAAGUAGAUUUAAAUAUUGCUAACCGAUGAGCGGGGAUAUAUUCAUAUCUGUAAUUAACAUUUAUUACACAGCAAUAUGAAGACUUUCAAAGGAUGAAGCUGAAGUCAGGUUUGUUCUUAGCUGCUCUUUAGAUUGUCUUGUCCCAUGCCAAGGAUGAAAUUCAACUGUGAUUCAGUGCAAGGAUUUUAUUUUUAAUUAAGAUUUUGUUAUCUACCUCACUGUAUCCACCUCCACACCUCGACGAUCAGCUCCACACAGCCAGCCACUAUGCAACAUAUCAGUCGACCACUCUACGCAAUCCAUUGUCUGUAGUCCCCAGGGUCUUUACCUAGUUCAGCCAUGUGAACAAAUUUUAGAGGGUACACAGCAUCAAAUACUGUUA